RNAcentral lists this transfer RNA (62 nucleotides) under Neotermes sp. RNAcentral's name for it is "tRNA-Ala". The record is from RNAcentral. Lineage: Eukaryota; Metazoa; Arthropoda; Insecta; Blattodea; Kalotermitidae.
AGGGCUGUAGUUAAUUAUAACAUUUGGUUUGCAAUCAGAAAGUACCGUAAAAGUCUGCCUUA